Molecule: ribosomal RNA, 111 nt
Filed under: uncultured eukaryote
Lineage: Eukaryota
Description: partial small subunit ribosomal RNA
Rfam family: Eukaryotic small subunit ribosomal RNA
Source: RNAcentral
UCGCUCCUACCGAUUGGGUGUGCUGGUGAAAUGUUCGGAUUGGCGACUCUGCGCGGUUUCCGCUCGUUGUUGUCGAGAAGUUCAUUAAACCCUCCCACCUAGAGGAAGGAG